GACAGAGGGGGCAAGCGUUGCUCGGAAUCACUGGGCGUAAAGGGCGCGUAGGCGGGAUGGCAAGUCAGUCGUGAAAUCUCUCGGCUCAACCGAGAAACGUCGGCUGAUACUGCCGUUCUUGAGGGAUGCAGAGGAGACUGGAAUUCCCGGUGUAGCGGUGAAAUGUGUAGAGAUCGGGAGGAACACCGGUGGCGAAGGCGGGUCUCUGGGCAAUUCCUGACGCUGAGGCGCGAAAGCGUGGGGAGCAAACGGG
RNAcentral lists this ribosomal RNA (253 nucleotides) under uncultured bacterium. RNAcentral's name for it is "partial 16S ribosomal RNA". It matches the Rfam family "Bacterial small subunit ribosomal RNA", at positions 524 to 776 of the family's 1533-position model. The record is from RNAcentral.